RNAcentral lists this ribosomal RNA (80 nucleotides) under Escherichia coli. Its description in RNAcentral is "partial 16S ribosomal RNA". It matches the Rfam family "Bacterial small subunit ribosomal RNA", at positions 1 to 78 of the family's 1533-position model. RNAcentral also lists the same sequence under 13 other names. Lineage: Bacteria; Pseudomonadati; Pseudomonadota; Gammaproteobacteria; Enterobacterales; Enterobacteriaceae. The record is from RNAcentral.
UUAAAUUGAAGAGUUUGAUCAUGGCUCAGAUUGAACGCUGGCGGCAGGCCUAACACAUGCAAGUCGAACGGUAACAGAAA